AUACGGAGGGUGCAAGCGUUGUUCGGAAUUAUUGGGCGUAAAGCGCGUGUAGGCGGUUGUUUAAGUCUGAUGUGAAAGCCCUGGGCUCAACCUGGGAAGUGCAUUGGAAACUGGACAACUUGAGUACGGGAGAGGGUAGUGGAAUUCCGAGUGUAGGGGUGAAAUCCGUAGAUAUUCGAAGGAACACCGGUGGCGAAGGCGGCUACCUGGACCGAUACUGACGCUGAGGCGCGAAGGCGUGGGUAGC
Molecule: ribosomal RNA, 247 nt
Filed under: uncultured bacterium
Lineage: Bacteria
Description: partial 16S ribosomal RNA
Rfam family: Bacterial small subunit ribosomal RNA
Source: RNAcentral